GAUAGUGAAGAUAUAUCCAUGAUUUGGAGGUGUAGACAGCUCCAAGACUCUGUUUACAGGGAGAACCUACUUGGUUGCUACACUUUUUAUGAAAUUACUGGAUAUUUCUUAGUC
Molecule: small nucleolar RNA, 114 nt
Organism: Vitis vinifera (wine grape)
Lineage: Eukaryota; Viridiplantae; Streptophyta; Magnoliopsida; Vitales; Vitaceae
Rfam family: Small nucleolar RNA Z278
About the family: snoZ278 is a C/D box small nucleolar RNA. Its methylation guide targets have not been reported.
Source: Rfam